UCUUUGUUAUGAUCAACAGCUUUGUUAGAUUCACUCGCGAAUGUAGGAGUGUUUCAAAAUAUCUGAAAACAAAACUGCUGUAGUAAAUGUAGUAGUAAUUAAUAACAUGGCAAGCAGUUCUGCACUGUCAGCUUCUUACCGUCCUCCAAUCCAGCGUCUGAAGAAAAGUUCUGCUAAAAUGGAAAUUGCACACUUUCAAAUGCCUUUCAAACCUCUCGAUCCUAAGGAGUUUGACAAAAUCAGGCAGAAAGCAAGCACUGCCUGGACUGAAGAACACGAGCAUCGAUUAAGAAGCAUUACCACCUAUUCAGCAGAACACAGAAUAAAACAAUUGGAUGAACCAACCCAAGGCCGGAUCCGACCAAACUCCCCAACUAGACUGCACAGACCCCAUCCACCAGAAAUAUUUUUAGUGACCCAUCUCCAUGCAAUCCCAGGACACAACAAUUCUUCAAAACAUACAUCCAAUUUGCCACUAAGAGACAAGUGGAAAAAAUCUCCCAGUCAAACAUUUGGAUGCUACAAACCUAAAACGCCUUCACAGUCAACCAUGAAUUCUGACGAAAUCAGAAAGUCACUUCAGGCAAUAUUCAAUGAUUCAAAUGCAGCCUGGGCAGCAGAGAGUUGGAUGAAGCUUGCCAGUGAAAAAGAUCGCCAGGCCGUGAAAAAGAUGAUAGGCUACAUCCGCAGUUUUUCAGGGAAGAUAGCAAGGAAAGAUACUACAGGACAAAGUUAUAUCAGUCAAGCACUGCGCAGGUACAUCAAACCUCAGUUCACUACUUCAAUGAUUCACUGGUUGCAGAAGGCUGGAAGGGAAGAGUCCACAGCAAUGGAACGUCUACUGAGAUCACUUCCUAGUGAUCUGGGAUAUGAACAAAUACAAGGUCCUUAUUUCCGUCUUGCCAAAAGUGCUUGUACAUGGGAGAUGGCGCCCAAACCACAUAGCUAUGAUUAUCAGAUUCAUCCAGAAUGGGUGACGCAGCCCUGGCACACACAGUAUAGGCAACAUAAACCGUGAUGUAGUAAGGAGAUAAGACCCCCUUUGAUUUUGAGCAGCUCUAUCAAAUCCUUCUUGACCUGCUCCUCACUAAGCACAACAACUCAGCUUUGCAUCGAUCCUUGUGGCUGAAGUCUCAUCCAUGGAGUCAUUUUGUGCAAGCCAGUUACUGGAGAUGUCAACUUGAGGAGCCAUACUUUUUAUUCUGAGAAUCAAGAAUUCAAAGAAUUCCGGGGGAAAAAAAACCCUUGAUCCAGGAAGGGAGAAGAAUGUAGAACUUGCAAAUUCAAGGAAAAGUUAAGAGUACUACUGUAUAAAUGAAAUUAAGUGGAAGGUAGUAAUUUUAUGUGGGAGAAAGGAAGACGAAGUGCUGUAUAUUCAACACAGAUCAUGGACUGCCUCCUAAUUUCUACACCAGUUCAGCCUCCUCAUCUUCCCUGAUUUAGAAGCUAAUGUAGAGAAGACUGAUCGAAUCUACAAGACAUCGCCAUCAAACAAGAUCACAGAAUUCAGGAAGCUGAGUCUAUCAGCAAAAGCAUUUAAUGUUUGUGUGACAAUCUGCAUUACAAAAGUUGCUCAAUAACACUGGUUACAUGUAUGUGGAAAAGCCAAUGUUUACAGGAGUCAGCAAUACAAAUACUUUGAUGCAUCUGAUUUAUUUAUGAGCAAUGGGGAUAGGCCAUUAGAGGAAUACAGAGCCUGAAGUGUCUCA
Non-coding RNA from Chiloscyllium plagiosum (whitespotted bambooshark), 1709 nucleotides. Lineage: Eukaryota; Metazoa; Chordata; Chondrichthyes; Orectolobiformes; Hemiscylliidae. The record is from RefSeq and is a predicted model, not a curated record.